CACACACACCUGCGAUGGUUCAUCUUGGAACAGGAGGGCAACUGAACAAAAAUCUGAGGAGGGCACCCGGAUGUAGCUGCUUCAUCAAAGAGUAACCUGAGACACCUUUCUGAUAUACAAAGAAGUGUGGCCCAGACAGCACCUGAGCAUCUGUGUCAUUGACAUCUAAGCAGACGACAGACAAAGCUCAAUGGAGAAGCCAGCCCACAAUAUUUAAGAAAUUCUACUCACAGAUGAUGAAACUGAGGCACAGACUGCUUGAAGAAUCUGUCUGAGCUCGUACAGCU
Molossus molossus (Pallas's mastiff bat) is the source of this 287-nucleotide long non-coding RNA. RefSeq lists it as uncharacterized. The record is from RefSeq and is a predicted model, not a curated record. Lineage: Eukaryota; Metazoa; Chordata; Mammalia; Chiroptera; Molossidae. The transcript has 3 exons.